RNAcentral lists this small nuclear RNA (295 nucleotides) under Chinchilla lanigera (long-tailed chinchilla). RNAcentral describes it as "7SK RNA (ENSCLAG00000021556.1)". It matches the Rfam family "7SK RNA". Rfam says of the family: 7SK was discovered as an abundant small nuclear RNA in the mid-70s but a possible function has only recently been suggested. Two independent studies have found that 7SK RNA binds the CDK9/cyclin T complex (known as elongation factor P-TEFb). The record is from RNAcentral. Lineage: Eukaryota; Metazoa; Chordata; Mammalia; Rodentia; Chinchillidae.
GGAUGUGGGGGCGAUCUGCCGUGACACCUGUCACCCCGCUAAUCACCAGGGUUGAUUCGGCUGAUCUGGCGGGUGUGGCUGGGGUCCCCUUCCUCCCUCACAGCCCCCUGUGCGUCCCUCCCGAAGCUGCGCACCCAGGGGAAGAGGACGACCACCCCCCACGGAGGAGGACCGGUCCUAGGUCAAGGGUGUAGGGGUAGCUGCCUCCCCUGCUAGAACUCCAAACAAGCUCUCAAGAAUGGGCAAGAGAAGAGGUCACAGAAUAAGAAAUGAAAAUAACUUUUCUUUUCUUUUU